UACAGAGGGUGCAAGCGUUGUUCGGAAUUAUUGGGCGUAAAGCGCGUGUAGGCGGCUUUGCAAGUCGGGUGUGAAAGCCCUCAGCUCAACUGAGGAAGUGCGCCCGAAACUGCAGAGCUUGAGUGCCGGAGAGGGUGGCGGAAUUCCCCAAGUAGAGGUGAAAUUCGUAGAUAUGGGGGAGGAACACCGGUGGCGAAGGCGGCCACCUGGACGGUAACUGACGCUGGAGACGCGAAAGCGUGGGUAGCAAACAGG
RNAcentral lists this ribosomal RNA (255 nucleotides) under uncultured bacterium. RNAcentral describes it as "partial 16S ribosomal RNA". It matches the Rfam family "Bacterial small subunit ribosomal RNA", at positions 524 to 776 of the family's 1533-position model. The record is from RNAcentral.